UACGGAGGGUGCAAACGUUGCUCGGAAUCAUUGGGCGUAAAGCGCACGUAGGCGGCUUUGCAAGUCGGAUGUGAAAGCCCUCGGCUCAACCAAGGAAGUGCAUCCGAAACUGCAGAGCUUGAGUACUUAAGAGGAUCGCGGAAUUCCCGGUGUAGAGGUGAAAUUCGUAGAUAUCGGGAGGAACACCAGUGGCGAAGGCGGCGAUCUGGGAAGAUACUGACGCUGAGGUGCGAAAGCGUGGGGAGCAAACAGG
RNAcentral lists this ribosomal RNA (253 nucleotides) under uncultured bacterium. RNAcentral's name for it is "partial 16S ribosomal RNA". It matches the Rfam family "Bacterial small subunit ribosomal RNA", at positions 524 to 776 of the family's 1533-position model. The record is from RNAcentral.